This is a long non-coding RNA of Rattus norvegicus (Norway rat), 5889 nucleotides long. RefSeq lists it as uncharacterized. The record is from RefSeq and is a predicted model, not a curated record. Lineage: Eukaryota; Metazoa; Chordata; Mammalia; Rodentia; Muridae.
UGCCGCUGCUGGAGGGGGAGGAGAGCUCAUUUUAUAAACAAGCCAAAAGGAGUCUGAUUCUUUUUCCGCCACACGAAGGCUGUUUAUCAUUCAAUUCUGUAAGAAUAAACAAGUCGUAAUGUUUUGAGUGCAUCAGAAGGUAAAUAAAACCAAACCAUAUUACAGAAUAAAUCGGCGGAAAGCCGCCUCCCCGUCUUUCAGAGCAAUUAGCUGGGUGAUUUGUUAUUGUUGCGCCUUGAGUUUUACAUUGGAAAAUCAAAUUUGGAAAUUAGGCUGGGGACGGCGAGAGGCAUUUGCCGCGUUUAUUACCAAUUACCUCUCGAAGGCUGUGUUUACUCAUAAAAUUAUCCCAGUUCCAGCAUGGCGAGCGAAAUUCCUGAUCCGGAAAGUUUUGUUUAAAAUUCUAACCCGGGGACGAAAUUCACUAGUCGGCUCUUACAUUAUGCUGUAGGGCCCCGGCGAUAAGAAAACGUGGCGUCCGGGAGAAUGACUGGUAGCUCUGUGGCCCGUCGAGUCCUUUGCUGCUCACAAAGCGUGAAUGGGGCAUUUGCGCUGGGAGACGGUUCGUUUGAGGUCAGCUUGCAGGCUUAGGUAUUCAGAGCCUCUGUGUUUUGACGUCCUAAUUGUCAACCUCAAAUUAAAGUCGUUGGCAUUUUAGAAACCGCUCUUACGUUUUAUUAUCAUGAUGUUCUGGGCACGGGACCAUAAAUAUUUAUGUGCUUAAAAGGAAUUAUGUCUCAUUUCCGGCUCUAAAGGGUAGAUAUGGAGAAGAGACAAAGGAAGGGGGGAGCAAAGGUCACAUGAAGAGCAGGUUGCUUCGUCCUCUUCUGGGUUCUCAGGGAGAGUUGAGGAAACACACUGCUAAUGGAUCCUGAAGCUCCACCUUCUGCAGGGCAAGGUCUUUCAGAGGUCCUGGAGCCCAGCUGUUUAGCCAGAGUGGCUGCCCAGCUGAGCCCGAGAGAAGCUGUCUCUGCUGACACCAUGCUGGGAUUAAGGAUGCUCGCACUGCGCCUGGCUUUCGGUGGGGGCUGCUGGGAAGUAGGACUUCCGGUCCUCUGGCUGGUGCGUCAGGCACGUUACCAACUGCGCCAUCUCUGCAGGCCCUUCCAUUUCUCUUCCCUCUGUAAAGAAUUAAAGCGGAGUCACUUGAUGUCAAGGCCAUCUCAGUCAUACAUUGGUACUGAAGCGGAGACCACGCUCAGACCCGCGGUGACGAAGACAUCGCCACUGUGUUUUUCAGUCUCUGUCCUAGAAAGGUACAGGAAGCUACCUCAACAUGGAGCUGGGUGUGACGAUGGGACAAUGAGUUAUGAACGGAUGCGCCAGAAUCUCGACGCGUGCUCCUGUUCUGACUGGGGUGGACAUCUUUGAACGAUGCAACGUUCAGCACAGGGCCAGCAACGGCCUACCACGACACACCAACCCCACGGGAUCUCAAAAUUCUUUGUCAUGGCAGCGUAAUUGAAUCUGUCCUCAGGAACACGGAUAUUGUGGAUGCAAGACAGGAGCUCGUUUUAUUAAUUUAGAUGGGAUGUUAUGUAAAUGACGACCCAAACUUAUAAAGGUCUCGCUGGGAUAUUUCCAGCAUUCCAGUGCGUUCGAGAGGCUUCUACAGAGCCCAGUCUGAAAAUUUAAGGCUGUUGAUCUAUACCUACAUUACUUCUUUUUUCUUGUAAAUGACAUUUUUAGAUACACCUGAAUAUGGCUGCCCUUUUGUUUAAAAUUCUCUUUAAAAAUCCAGUUAUGCUCAGGUCCAGGAAAUUGCCGACUGCUCCCAAAUUGAUUGGGUCAAUAAAAAUCUAAUUUCCUGGCUGGCUGCAUCAGACUGUUUCAUCUAGAAAAACGCUUUUGUGCUUAGAACUUCAGUAAAAUGAGAAGAAAUUGAUAAAGAUUGGAUAGAUAACCGCAUUCUUGAGUAAAAUGUUUCCAGGCAAAAUUAGCAUCUACUUCUAACUUUCCUUCUCAGGGGCUGGGACAGCUAAGUUACUCUAUGUCUGUUUCCGGCUACUGCCAACAGAGACCCUGUGAUGCAACCUAGCCUAUGUAUGACAUCACUAGAUUUCAGGGCAGAGGCCUGUGCAGCAGCGGCCCUGAUCCUCCAGUCGCAGCCUCCAGUUCUAAACCAAUCAGAGAGGAGAGUAAUUGGGAGAAACAGAAAAGAGAUUUGCCCAGCAUGGCCACACUUGGGAGAGGAGAGAUGAACUGGUCUAGUUCAAGUCUGUCUUCCAGUUACAGAGGCCACCCGGAAGAUGUUCUAAUUAUCAAGUGUCUGCUGGCCUCCUCCACAGGAAAGCAGACAGGAGAAGAGCCAGGGAUGUUUGGAAAAAUUUCCCAGGGGGAAAUGCUCAGUGGCUUGCUAUGCAUCUCGUAAUGGCGGCUCUGUGAGUCAGCCGAGUAUCUCUGAGGAGGCUAUGGGAGCCUAGUCAAUCUCAAGAGUUGACCUUACUCUGCGUUGACCGAGUAGCUCUGUGUCUAUGGAGUGGCUUUGUCCGAUCGCUUUUCCAAGUGCUUAAGGAAGUGGUUGGUUUUAGGUUGGUCCAAAAUGGUGUUGGCCCAAACAACACCCCCCACGCCUUUCACAUGAGGCUUUAUUUGCUGCCUGUCGGAUCCAAAGCUGGAGGCAGGAUACUGGGAGAGAACAAAUGGUCCUUAAAUCUUCAACUAGAAGCACAUCCAUGAUGUACCUGCUGGCUGAAACACAGAGUAACUCAGGUUCAUGGGCUGGAGGAGACCGUUGCUCAUAAGAGCGGUUACAAGAGGCAUAGAAACAGAAAGUGUUAGGAAAGACGGACAGGCUUUAAAGCUCAACCUACAGUAGAAGAUGCUCUUUCUCUUUCUGGCCUUGGAGACGAUUUACCAAAGUUCAGCAGAAACAACAGUGACCCACUUUUCACUGGAAACAACUGAAUCAAAUUCGAUGGAAAAUACGUCAUCGGAAAAAGUGCACUGUCUUUCAGUGAACAUAGGGUUAAAGAAUUCAACGUAAUAGAAAAGUGUGAAGCACUGAUUUCUGACUCAGGCCUGUGAAGGUCAUCGAAGACCCCACAGAAACCCCACAGAUGUUCUGGAGUAGCUGCAUAGAGUUGGGGAAUUAUCUGUGAAAUAUUCUACCUAUGGGAUAAUAUACCAGGAAACCUAGUAUGUUAGAAACAAAUACGGAUGUGCCAGAAUUACGAAAAGUGACUUAUAUCUCAACUACUUACAGCCUGCAAAUGAACUUGAGGCACAGAGGUAUGGAGCAAAGCACUUGCAGCUUUUAUAGUUAUAGACAGGGUCAUAAAACACCAGCUCGUGGUACAGGUUGGUCUAGUUAUAAUCCAGUAUCAUGCAGAUAAAUGUCUUCCUGCGUGCUGCAAGCCCAUCACUACCAUGGUUUGCCACCUCCCAUUUGGAGAUGUGAUGUCACAGGUUUAAAUCUUAGGACCUUUGUCACUGUAGCACCGGGAUCAAGUGGCCUUCUUAAUGUAUGUGAACCACAUUCAUGCAGUUUUGCAAAGGACCUCCGUUUUGAUUGGACAAUGAGUCUGAAAACCACAAUAAUCCUGGUUUCUAGGACUAAAGUAGUUUGUUUCUCUAGACUCCUCAGUCCCUGUUGGGGGCUUCCAGCAAUGGGCAGCCGAGAGAGAUGGUUACCAAUUACCCAGCAUUCUGUAACACUACUCCCUGGUUACCACUAGCGAUGGCCAACUAUGAACCAAAAAAGUCCUUUUCCCUUCUCCCUUCUUUCCCCAUAAUGUUCUGGUCUGUAAGCAGACACUGGGCUCUGAUUCGUACAGCAGAGCACUCCACCCUCCAGGUUUUUCUCCCAAAUAAAAGCCCCUCGUGGAGUUCUUUAUCCUCUUGUCUGUCUUCCCAAUCUGCCGUUCUUCUGCCCAACCUCAACAUUCUGACUCACAUGGCAGCAAAGCGAACAAACCUCUGCCUUCUGGCUGCAGAGGCUGGAGGACAGAUGCCCUCCUGGCUUCUUCUGAGGAACUCCUUUGAAGCUCUUUGUAAAUGUAGCAUUUUUUUCAUCAAGUUUUUCUUCUUCAGACUCUUCUGUCUUCCCUCCUUCCGACUCUUCUGACAUGAUAAAGGGAUACCAGCAGACCUCUCUCCAAUCCAACUCCACCAUCAUUCCCUUGUUCAUUCCCUCGUUCCCAAUCCCUAUUGAAAAACUUAUAGAUCCUAUGUCUAUGCAUGUCCUAUGAGAUUUACAUCCUGAAUUAAAAUAUUUUCUUCAUCAUCUCCACACAAUGAACAUGUUUUACACACACACACACACACACACAUGCACGCACAUACACACAGGCAUACAAACACAUACACACAGAUACACAUGUACAUAUACAUACCACACACAUGGAUACACUCACAGGCACACACAUACACAUGGCUAGACACACAUGCUCACACAUACACAGGCACACACACCAUAUACACACACACAAGACAUGCACACACCACAUAUACACACAGAUAAAGAGGCACACACACGCACACACACAUAUACAUACACACACACAUGCACACACAUACAGGCACACAAACACAUACACAGGGGUAUACAUGCACACACACACACACACACACACACACACACACACACACAAGAUCUAUGUUUUAUUGAUUUACUAAAUCGAAUCCCCUACUGCAGUCUACACACAGUGUUGAAGGAGAUAACCGAAUGCAUCAGAACCUCAGCCUCUGAUCCUUCAGAGUAUCCAUUGUCCAUCUCUUGGUUUCUCUUACACACGCAGUAGGUUUUUUAGUUCGAUUUUCCACACUAAUUCAAGAUGGUUGCUAACUUCCCUCGGUAUAUUUUAAUUCUUAACUUGAACCUUAACUUCCAAGUUUUAUCUUGACCUUGGAUCUUAGCCGUUAGCCAGAGGUACAUCAUUCUGUAAAGUUCCUCCAUUUUGGUCGAAUCGUGAAUUCUAGAAAUUACAGUAAUUUGCUUUGCAGAAGGAGAGUAUUUAUUAGUCUCUUGACUUCCCAACCUCUCGACCCUCAAUCCCGAGAGCUGGCUAUCUACCCACUUUGUAUCCAAAUAGGAAAGUUUCAACAGCCUUGCCUCUUCCGGCUUUCUCUUCAGUCCCAGCAGCCUGUGCGCAGACAGCCACCUCUGUUCUCUUGACCCAGGUGAAAUCUGUGCUCCCGCAGAGUCCCCAGUUUCCUCUUGUCUUCUUUCAGCUAACCACCCAAGGCUUGUUCCCUCACCACCUGAAGUCCCUGCUUAAGGAGCAGCCACACCCCCUCAGUACUCGAACUCAAGCAUUUCUUGAAUUUUUGUUCCUAUCUGGUAGAGCUAAACACCAGAGAUUUGCUAUCUGCCUGGACUAUAGCUUUGUUUUUGUUUUUUUUAAAACACAUUUUUCUAGGAUUUCUGCACUCUUGACUUUCACUUCUUAAUUCACCCUUCGGUGUUUCAAGCUGCAAGAUGACAUCUACUCAGUAUGUGUGGUUUCCUUUUUUUUUUUUUUUUUUAGCAUCUCUCUACUCUCUCCAUCCAGUUCAUCAACGGGGAACACUUCCUGAUUCAGUAUUCCAGAAGGGGAGAGAAACGAUCAACGGAUGACCACGUGGUCUGUCUUAUAAGGGAAGUUUAAAGUCUCCCGAGUGGAAGGCUGGUAGCCUGAGGCUAGUUCCACAUCCUAAGUUCCUACAGCCAACAGCAGCCUCAGUGUGGGUCUACUGAAACUUAAACUGCGAGAGUUUCAGCCAAUCACAGACAGCCACCUCAUCACCCCAGGCCCAUCACACCACCCUCAGACGCUCAGCUGCAGCCAAUCAAGUGGCAUCCGACAGAAGGUCGCCAUUCACACUCUCCCAACCUCUUCUGUUUCUCAGGGCUGCCUGAUUCAUGAGUCAUCUUCUGUGCAAAUAAACCCUGAAAUGUAAUACCCUGAA